GCCGGCAUGGUGGCGCAUGCCUGUAAUCCCAGCAUCUCUGGAGGUUAAGGUAGGAGGAUUGUGAGUUCAGAGCCAGCCUUAG
This 82-nucleotide small RNA is filed under the name Marmota monax (woodchuck). The record is from RNAcentral. Lineage: Eukaryota; Metazoa; Chordata; Mammalia; Rodentia; Sciuridae.